Amphiprion ocellaris (clown anemonefish) is the source of this 551-nucleotide long non-coding RNA. Lineage: Eukaryota; Metazoa; Chordata; Actinopteri; Pomacentridae. The record is from Ensembl.
CCUCAGUUACUUUUUCUCCACGUAUUACUGUUUUUGUGGCAGUAAUGCUUCCUGCACAUAUCCCAUAAAACCGGACGGUAAAAUCUGUUAGCCUCUGAUUAGCCUUUCUCCUCCGGCUGCUGUUUCCGCGUUUCCAUCAAAUAAUGAAAGGUGUCUCCUUGUGUUGGACACCAGGGGGCACAGUCCGUGUCUUACACAGAAUUACGGACACGAAGCAAAACGAAAGGCAUUUUGGAAACUAAGACCGCCAAGAGACAUUUUGACGAGUCUAAAAACGACAGUUAAGUUCGCGUUUUUAAGGUAAUAUUGAUGCUAGUAGCAGCGAAGCUAAGGAACACCUAGCUAGCUAACUAGCAGGUGCACUCGUCUGAACGUACUUUUUCAAGAUGUUUGGUUUGAGCAGCGAACUGGAUUUUAGACGUUUUUAAGCAGCCAGAAGAGGGAAAGACCAAGAAACACAUGAUUUAAGAAAAAUGCAUGGAUAGAUUUGAUGGUUCACUAGCAUGUGGCAGUCUCUGUCAUGUUACUCUGGCUGAGGAUCAAACAAGGAG